GGACUACAAUUGUCAGCUUUAUAUUACCUGGAUAUGGAAGGAAACUAUUUUUACUCUGCAGGUACUCUCCUAAGCGUCAUCUUGAGCCUUGCACAGGAUAUUCAGAUUCCUCACCCUUGCUUAGGAGUAAAACAUAAUAUACUUUUAUGGGGUGAUAAUAUCUCCAUAGUUAUUUGAAGUGGCUUGAACAAAAGCAAGUCUGACUCUUGGACAUUGGAUAAAAUCUACAAGUCAGCCCUAGAGUUUUUCAAUAUUUGACAAAACAUAUUUUCCUUGAGAGGAAGAUGGAAGGAGUGGAGUGUGGUUUGCAAAACAACUGCAUUUCACAGCUUUUCCAGUUAAAUUGGAGCACUAAACAUUUAGAGGCGUACCAAACUAUGCAUGGGUCCUUAGUCACACAUGGAAGGCUGGCCAUCAGCUUUGACACAAGCACUGUUCAGCUGGUCAAAUGACUGUGAUUAAAAACACAUGUAAAUUGCUUUUUAACAGCUGAUAACUGUGUAAGACAAAGCCAAAAUGCAAAUUAGGCUUUGAUUGGCACUGUUUGAAAAAUAUGCAACAUAAUGGGAAAUAAUCUGGAUAGGCCACUUCUGUACUUAAUGUGAAGUAUUUAGAUAACUUUUGGACACUUCUUAACAGUUUCUUUGGGACAAUGACUUUUAUAAAGUUUGGUACCAAAUAUCAUUCCUUAUGACAUGUACAUUGUCAUCACUAAUCCUUGGAUUUUGUUGUAUUGUCACCUAAAUUGGUACAGAUAUUGAUGAAAUUCUCUAAUGGAUAAUUAUAACACUCUUGGCCACAUGUUUUUCCUGCAGCUUAAGUUCUUUAAAAAGAUAUCAAAUGCCUGCUGCUACCACCCUUUUAAAUUGCUAUCUUUUGAGAAGUACCACUAUCCGUUUUAGAUUGAUUUCCCUGCUUUAGGGAAAUGAGUCAGUAGCUUCAGUUCUGAUGGUAUUAGCAAAACAAAUAAAAUGUGUAUAAAAUUUGUAUCUUGAAACACAUGUUCAACAGCUAGCAGCUUAUGUAGUUUCACCCCUGUGCGUUGUUAGUGUCACAAAUUUCAUGGUUGUCUCCAGCAGCUGUUUCUGUAGUAUUUGCAGUUAUCAUUUGUCUAAUUCAACCCUAAUUGAAUUCUCCUUUUCUCAUGGAGGCAUUUAUGUUCAAAGUGGUGAUUUCUUCCCCUAGAUGCAUAGGGAGAGUCUCAAGUUUGGAGAUGGAUGGUUUAGUAGUGACUUAGCCAUAUGUACUAUAUUGG
This 1255-nucleotide long non-coding RNA is filed under the name Heterocephalus glaber (naked mole-rat). RNAcentral's name for it is "lncRNA (ENSHGLG00100043186.1)". The record is from RNAcentral. Lineage: Eukaryota; Metazoa; Chordata; Mammalia; Rodentia; Bathyergidae.